GAUGAACGCUGGCGGCGUGCCUAAUACAUGCAAGUCGAGCGAACGGACGAGAAGCUUGCUUCUCUGAUGUUAGCGGCGGACGGGUGAGUAACACGUGGAUAACCUACCUAUAAGACUGGGAUAACUUCGGGAAACCGGAGCUAAUACCGAAUAAUCUUUUGAACCGCAUGGUUCAAAAGUGAAAGACGGUCUUGCUGUCACUUAUAGAUGGUUCCGCGCUGCAUUAGCUAGUUGGUAAGGUAACGGCUUACCAAGGCAACGAUGCAUAGCCGACCUCAGAGGGUGAGCGGCCACACUGGAACUGAGACACGGUCCAGACCCCUACGGGAGGCAGCAGUAGGGAAUCUGCCGCAAUGGGCGAAAGCCUGACGGUGCAACGCCGCGUGAGUGAUGAAGGUCUUCGGAUCGUAAAACUCUGUUAUUAGGGAAGAACAUAUGUGUAAGUAACUGUGCACAUCUUGACGGUACCUAAUCAGAAAGCCACGGCUAACUACGUG
RNAcentral lists this ribosomal RNA (497 nucleotides) under uncultured bacterium. RNAcentral describes it as "partial 16S ribosomal RNA". It matches the Rfam family "Bacterial small subunit ribosomal RNA", at positions 28 to 507 of the family's 1533-position model. The record is from RNAcentral.